RNAcentral lists this long non-coding RNA (258 nucleotides) under Populus tremula. RNAcentral describes it as "long non-coding RNA (PTRE_LNC001968)". The record is from RNAcentral. Lineage: Eukaryota; Viridiplantae; Streptophyta; Magnoliopsida; Malpighiales; Salicaceae.
UCAAAUUCAAUCUCAUCCUGAACUUCUGCUUCCAUUGGUUGAGGCGAAGGGUUUCUAACUCUCUUUUUGCGCCUUUCCUUCCUAAGCUGAGCGAUAGGAAUGUCCUCUUGAUCAUCGGUAUUAAUUACAUGUUUAGCCCUCGACAUAUUUCUAAAAACAAAAUGCAUAUUUAUCACAAGGAAGAAGACAUGCUUGAUGAGAAUUCAAAAUUCCAAAAACAACAAACAAAACGAUACGGAUUCUAAUGCUCCACUUAUU